RNAcentral lists this long non-coding RNA (213 nucleotides) under Ictidomys tridecemlineatus (thirteen-lined ground squirrel). RNAcentral describes it as "lncRNA (ENSSTOG00000031686.1)". Lineage: Eukaryota; Metazoa; Chordata; Mammalia; Rodentia; Sciuridae. The record is from RNAcentral.
UUCAGCCCCGUGUCACCUGGCGUCACCUGGCGUCACCUGGCGUCACCUGUUGAACAGGACUGCCGUGAGCCCUCAGGCAGCAGUUGAGGCCCCUGGAUCAGCCAAGGCCCACAGUCGGAGGUCUGUGAGCCUCGACUCCCUUGUUCUCCACCCGCGCGCGACUCAGAACCGCAGACCUCCACCAGCGGAAACCCAGGCUCAGAGCAAGUGUUU